Daphnia carinata is the source of this 970-nucleotide long non-coding RNA. RefSeq lists it as uncharacterized. Lineage: Eukaryota; Metazoa; Arthropoda; Branchiopoda; Diplostraca; Daphniidae. The record is from RefSeq and is a predicted model, not a curated record. The transcript has 3 exons.
CUGUGCAUACGUGUUGCAUCAAGAAGAUGUGGCCGCCGAAUGAAUCGGCUUAUAAAUAACGAUCAAUUUCGUUUCAUCCUUGUUCUUUUCAGAUGGUGAUUUUGACGUGGUAGCUGGUUGUCAAAACGCAAUGCCUUUUUUUUUUUUUUUUUAUAAUUCUUUCUGGCAAACCAAGUAUAGCACAGCCAACUGAACCUCGCCUUGCCAACAGGUGUGAUAGACGUUCAAAUUGACAACGGAAACCGCCUGUAACUUGCCGUUUGACGAAGGCGUUCAGGAAAGAACGAAACCAGCCAAGAAGAUGCACGACGCUGGAAUGUAUUCAGCAUCAUCUCUGCAAUACGCAUUUUCCUGUUCAAUUUGACAUUGAUCGACAAAAGCCGGCCCUUCUAUUAAGAAGAGCAGUUCAUCUGGUCAUCAACUUCAUUGACAGAUGGUUUUGAUCGCUAAGGCUCAUGCAAAGACGCGUUGGGAAGGAAAGCAAAAAAAAUGGUCAAAUGGAAAGGAGAGACACGGUUGAUGAGAUGGGCCGAUUUGGUGAUUAAACUCUCGACACUAGCCUGAUCCAAUUCCUGUAAGAAGACACCCUGGUAUAGACAACGGGGUAUCCUGGUCGGGCACAGCCUUUAAAGAAAAGCGAACGGAAAAAAACAAAACAAACAUUGAUUUAGUUUGUGUUGUGGCUUGUGUGAGAGCAUACAAAGAAACGUACCAAUUCCAUGACUGACGAUGCCCAGCUGUACCCAAGGUGCAUCUGGUGACGUUCGGUUGUACAGCGGACCGCCGCUGUCGCUCUGCAAAAAAUGGCGAACGGGUGCUACGAUACCUGGCAAGUGUUGCUCUCGGGCGCGAUGGCGCACAGCAUGCUGCCGAUGAUGUUCGGAUAGCUUUCUUUGCAUUGGCCGUUGUCCAGUAUUUUGACGGUCGUGUGCUGAAGGGCAGUCGACGAGAAAAAGACACCUAGACGGUA